AGAGUUUGAUCCUGGCUCAGAUUGAACGCUAGCGGGAUGCUUUACACAUGCAAGUCGAACGGCAGCGCGAGAGAGCUUGCUCUCUUGGCGGCGAGUGGCGGACGGGUGAGUAAUAUAUCGGAACGUGCCCAGUAGCGGGGGAUAACUACUCGAAAGAGUGGCUAAUACCGCAUACGCCCUACGGGGGAAAGGGGGGGAUCGCAAGACCUCUCACUAUUGGAGCGGCCGAUAUCGGAUUAGCUAGUUGGUGGGGUAAAGGCUCACCAAGGCAACGAUCCGUAGCUGGUUUGAGAGGACGACCAGCCACACUGGGACUGAGACACGGCCCAGACUCCUACGGGAGGCAGCAGUGGGGAAUUUUGGACAAUGGGGGAAACCCUGAUCCAGCCAUCCCGCGUGUAUGAUGAAGGCCUUCGGGUUGUAAAGUACUUUUGGCAGAGAAGAAAAGGUACCUCCUAAUACGAGGUACUGCUGACGGUAUCUGCAGAAUAAGCACCGGCUAACUACGUGCCAGCAGCCGCGGUAAUACGUAGGGUGCAAGCGUUAAUCGGAAUUACUGGGCGUAAAGCGUGUGUAGGCGGUUCGGAAAGAAAGAUGUGAAAUCCCAGGGCUCAACCUUGGAACUGCAUUUUUAACUGCCGAGCUAGAGUAUGUCAGAGGGGGGUAGAAUUCCACGUGUAGCAGUGAAAUGCGUAGAUAUGUGGAGGAAUACCGAUGGCGAAGGCAGCCCCCUGGGAUAAUACUGACGCUCAGACACGAAAGCGUGAGGAGCAAACAGGAUUAGAUACCCUGGUAGUCCACGCCCUAAACGAUGUCAACUAGCUGUUGGGGCCGUUAGGCCUUAGUAGCGCAGCUAACGCGUGAAGUUGACCGCCUGGGGAGUACGGUCGCAAGAUUAAAACUCAAAGGAAUUGACGGGGACCCGCACAAGCGGUGGAUGAUGUGGAUUAAUACGAUGCAACGCGAAAAACCUUACCUACCCUUGACAUGUCUGGAAAGCCGAAGAGAUUUGGCCGUGCUCGCAAGAGAACCGGAACACAGGUGCUGCAUGGCUGUCGUCAGCUCGUGUCGUGAGAUGUUGGGUUAAGUCCCGCAACGAGCGCAACCCUUGUCAUUAGUUGCUACGCAAGAGCACUCUAAUGAGACUGCCGGUGACAAACCGGAGGAAGGUGGGGAUGACGUCAAGUCCUCAUGGCCCUUAUGGGUAGGGCUUCACACGUCAUACAAUGGUCGGGACAGAGGGUCGCCAACCCGCGAGGGGGAGCCAAUCUCAGAAACCCGAUCGUAGUCCGGAUCGCAGUCUGCAACUCGACUGCGUGAAGUCGGAAUCGCUAGUAAUCGCGGAUCAGAAUGUCGCGGUGAAUACGUUCCCGGGUCUUGUACACACCGCCCGUCA
Molecule: ribosomal RNA, 1396 nt
Filed under: uncultured bacterium
Lineage: Bacteria
Description: bacterial SSU rRNA
Rfam family: Bacterial small subunit ribosomal RNA
Source: RNAcentral